UUGAACGCUGGCGGCAGGCCUCACACAUGCAAGUCGCGCGGAUGAAGGGAGCUUGCUCCUGGAUUCAGCGGCGGACGGGUGAGUAAUGCCUAGGAAUCUGCCUGGUAGUGGGGGAUAACGUCCGGAAACGGGCGCUAAUACCGCAUACGUCCUGAGGGAGAAAGUGGGGGAUCUUCGGACCUCACGCUAUCAGAUGAGCCUAGGUCGGAUUAGCCAGUUGGUGGGGUAAAGGCCUACCAAGGCGACGAUCCGUAACUGGUCUGAGAGGAUGAUCAGUCACACUGGAACUGAGACACGGUCCAGACUCCUACGGGAGGCAGCAGUGGGGAAUAUUGGACAAUGGGCGAAAGCCUGAUCCAGCCAUGCCGCGUGUGUGAAGAAGGUCUUCGGAUUGUAAAGCACUUUAAGUUGGGAGGAAGGGCAGUAAGUUAAUACCUUGCUGUUUUGACGUUACCAACAGAAUAAGCACCGGCUAACUUCGUG
RNAcentral lists this ribosomal RNA (483 nucleotides) under uncultured bacterium. RNAcentral describes it as "partial 16S ribosomal RNA". It matches the Rfam family "Bacterial small subunit ribosomal RNA", at positions 30 to 507 of the family's 1533-position model. The record is from RNAcentral.